AUUGAACGCUGGCGGCAUGCCUAACACAUGCAAGUCGAACGGAAACGAUGGAAGCUUGCUUCCAGGCGUCGAGUGGCGGACGGGUGAGUAAUACUUAGGAAUCUACCCAGUAGCGGGGGACAACAUUCGGAAACGGAUGCUAAUACCGCAUACGCCCUACGGGGGAAAGCAGGGGAUCUUCGGACCUUGCACUAUUGGAUGAGCCUAAGUCGGAUUAGCUAGUUGGUGAGGUAAAGGCUCACCAAGGCGACGAUCCGUAGCUGGUCUGAGAGGACGAUCAGCCACACUGGGACUGAGACACGGCCCAG
Molecule: ribosomal RNA, 308 nt
Filed under: uncultured bacterium
Lineage: Bacteria
Description: bacterial SSU rRNA
Rfam family: Bacterial small subunit ribosomal RNA
Source: RNAcentral